This 451-nucleotide ribosomal RNA is filed under the name uncultured bacterium. RNAcentral's name for it is "partial 16S ribosomal RNA". It matches the Rfam family "Bacterial small subunit ribosomal RNA", at positions 28 to 507 of the family's 1533-position model. The record is from RNAcentral.
GAUGAAUGCUGGCGGCGUGCCUAACACAUGCAAGUCGAGCGGCAGCAAGGGGUGCUUGCACCCUGUCGGCGAGCGGCGAACGGCUGAGUAACGCGUAGGAAUUUGCCCCAAAGUGAGGAAUAACUGCCCGAAAGGGUAGCUAAUGCCGCAUAUGGUCUUCGGAUUAAAGGAUUUAUCCGCUUUGGGAGAAGCCUGCGUUGGAUUAGGUUGUUGGUAGGGUAAUGGCCUACCAAGCCGACGAUCCAUAGCUGGUCUGAGAGGAUGAUCAGCCAGACUGGAACUGAGACACGGUCCAGACUCCUACGGGAGGCAGCAGUGAGGAAUCUUCCACAAUGGGCGAAAGCCUGAUGGAGCAACGCCGCGUGAAGGAUGAAGGCCUUCGGGUUGUAAACUUCUUUUAUGAGUGAAGAAUAUGACGGUAACUCAUGGAUAAGCACCGGCUAACUACGUG